RNAcentral lists this ribosomal RNA (950 nucleotides) under Astrochapsa astroidea. RNAcentral's name for it is "SSU rRNA". It matches the Rfam family "Bacterial small subunit ribosomal RNA", at positions 1 to 1306 of the family's 1533-position model. The record is from RNAcentral. Lineage: Eukaryota; Fungi; Ascomycota; Lecanoromycetes; Ostropales; Graphidaceae.
AUAUGUCAUAGCUACGCUGACAGCACUUGGAGGGAUGAAUAGGGAAAACCGGUAAAAAGGUAAUGUACCUAUGAUAUUGGUAAUAAAACUGAUAUUAUGUUAACAAAGUUAAUUAAAGUUCAAAGUAAGUAUUGAUUAUGACAGUAUUUACUGAUGUCUUGACUAAGUCACGUGCCAGCAGUCGCGGUAAUACGUGGAAGAUAAGUGUUAUUCAUCUUUAAUAGGUUUAAAGGGUACCUAGACGGUUAGCAAAACACAAAAAUGUAUUUUUUAACUAGAGUUUAAUGUAAGAAAGAUUGAGUACGGUGAGUGUAGAGAUAUAAUUUUAUGAUACCACUUCGGAACUGGUAAAGGCGAAGGCAACUUUCUAUGUAAAAACUGACGUUGAGGGACGAAGGCUCAUAUAAAAGAAUAGGAUUAGAUACCCUAGUAUUACGAGCAGAAAAUGAUGAGUGUCAUAUAUAAGAAUAAUCUAAUAAAAUUUAGAGGUUUUUUUGCGUAUAAAUGAAAGUGUAAGCACUCCACCUCAAGAGUAACAUGGCAACAUGGGAACUGAAAUCAUUAGACCGUUUCUGAAACUCGUAGUGAAGUAUGUUGUUUAAUUUGAUGGUCCACAAACAACCUUACCACGACUUGAAUUACUCUAGUAAAUUUAGUUUUUGCUUACUCCUAAUAAGAUAAGCAAUCUACUCAUAGUAACAAGCGUUGCACGGCUGUCUUCAGUCAAUGUUGUGAAACUGUGGUUAGAUCCAUUAAAUUGACGUAAACCCUUACUUUAUUUAUAAUAGAGUAGUUCGCCGCUAUAUUGGUAUUGAUAUAAGGGACUAAGACAAGUCAUCAUGGCCUAAACGUCGUGGGCUAUAGACGUGCCACAUUACCCUUUACAAAAAGAUGCAAAAUUGUGAAAUUUAGCUAAUCUAGAAAAAGGAAAUAAUAAAGGAUUGUAGUCG